This is a small nucleolar RNA of Callithrix jacchus (white-tufted-ear marmoset), 112 nucleotides long. Its record names the gene U3. It matches the Rfam family "Small nucleolar RNA U3". Rfam says of the family: Small nucleolar RNAs (snoRNAs) are involved in the processing and modification of rRNA in the nucleolus. There are two main classes of snoRNAs: the box C/D class, and the box H/ACA class. U3 snoRNA is a member of the box C/D class. The record is from Ensembl. Lineage: Eukaryota; Metazoa; Chordata; Mammalia; Primates; Cebidae.
AAGACUAUACUUUCAAGGAUCAUUUCUAUAGUAUGUUACUAUGGAAGUUUCUCUGAAGGUGUAGAGCACCAAAGGAUACAAAACUGAGCAGUUUCAAAUUUAGCUGCUUUGA